RNAcentral lists this ribosomal RNA (497 nucleotides) under uncultured bacterium. Its description in RNAcentral is "partial 16S ribosomal RNA". It matches the Rfam family "Bacterial small subunit ribosomal RNA", at positions 28 to 507 of the family's 1533-position model. The record is from RNAcentral.
GAUGAACGCUGGCGGCGUGCCUAAUACAUGCAAGUCGAGCGAACAGACGAGGAGCUUGCUCCUCUGACGUUAGCGGCGGACGGGUGAGUAACACGUGGAUAACCUACCUAUAAGACUGGGAUCACUUCGGGAAACCGGAGAUAAUACCGGAUAAUAUAUUGAACCGCAUGGUUCAAUAGUGAAAGACGGUUUUGCUGUCACUUAUAGAUGGAUCCGCGCCGCAUUAGCUAGUUGGUAAGGUAACGGCUUACCAAGGCAACGAUGCGUAGCCGACCUGAGAGGGUGAUCGGCCACACUGGAACUGAGACACGGUCCAGACUCCUACGGGAGGCAGCAGUAGGGAAUCUUCCGCAAUGGGCGAAAGCCUGACGGAGCAACGCCGCGUGAGUGAUGAAGGUCUUCGGAUCGUAAAACCCUGUUAUUAGGGAAGAACAAAUGUGUAAGUAACUAUGCACGUCUUGACGGUACCUAAUCAGAAAGCCACGGCUAACUACGUG